This 257-nucleotide ribosomal RNA is filed under the name uncultured bacterium. RNAcentral's name for it is "partial 16S ribosomal RNA". It matches the Rfam family "Bacterial small subunit ribosomal RNA", at positions 524 to 776 of the family's 1533-position model. The record is from RNAcentral.
UACGAAGGGGGGCUAGCGUUGCUCGGAAUGACUGGGCGUAAAGGGCGCGUAGGCGGCUUGGCAAGCUCAGGCGUGAAAUUCCGUGGGCUCAACCUGGGGGGCUGCGCUUGAGACUGCUGGGCUUGAGGAUGGAAGAGGCUCGUGGAAUUCCCAGUGUAGAGGUGAAAUUCGUAGAUAUUGGGAAGAACACCGGUGGCGAAGGCGGCGAGCUGGUCCAUUACUGACGCUGAGGUGCGAAAGCGUGGGGAGCAAACAGG